RNAcentral lists this unclassified non-coding RNA (1944 nucleotides) under Hevea brasiliensis (rubber tree). Lineage: Eukaryota; Viridiplantae; Streptophyta; Magnoliopsida; Malpighiales; Euphorbiaceae. The record is from RNAcentral.
UCUGUACAAACUUAUGAGGUGAUACUAGUUUUCCCCCCAUUUGAGAAAUGUUCUAAAUACAUAUUUACACAAGUUCAAUGCCCAGCAAGUCAUGGCUAAAUAAAUCAUUUUUCCUUCAGAUCGUCGUCAUCCAACGCAGUUUUCUUGCAGAUUGGACACACGUUCUUCAUUGACAGCCAUCUUCUUAUGCAUCCAACAUGAAAAUCAUGGAUGCACGAUUUCAACGUCCCGACAUCAUCCAUGUUAACAUACUCUUCCAGACAGAUAACACAAUUUCCUUCCUCAUGAUUUUGGCCUGAGGAACAAUAAAUUGACUCGGUCAUGCACUUUGAAAUCAGUUCCUCCGACAAGCCAGUAUUGACAUGGCCAAUUCUUUCUCCCAGAGCCAGAAGCUCCUCAUAGCCCAUGUCGUCAAUGUCAAGUCUCAUGUCCCUAUGCUGGUCAAACAUGCUUCUGGACCCAUAAUAAGUAGAGCGGUCUGGAAUAAUCACGCCCUCAGAUGCAACUUGCUCACGGAAACCUGCCUCACCAGCCAACGAUCUGUACCUAUCACUGGAUACCCUAGUUCUCCCAUUUCGGUCACUACUACGCAGUCCUAGAGUAGACAAUGGUCGUGAAUGUCUUGAGGAGUAACCUUCAGCAAACAACUGUGAUCCGUCAUCUGAAGUCCCAACAUGCCCAUGACGCAAAUAGCUUGAAGAAGUCCUAAAAGUAGGGGAAGAUCUUUGACUAUAGCUACUUCUGACUCCCCUUGAAGAUGGCAAGCUGCCAGGUAAAUGCUGAGGAAGGGAAGUUCUGUUGGAGGUGAAAUCAUUGUGGUAAUUCCCCAUCUCCAGAGAGGUAGAGAUAUUGCCGGUAACCAUAUCAUAGUGGUUCAUAUCAUAACAAAAGAAGCUUGCAUCAGGAGCGAAGUUCCUCCCAUGGGCAGCUGCAGGGGGCAUGACAGUAUGGUUCCAUUCCCUUGCUGAAGAAUUCGAACUUGGAGCUAGAUAAUUCACUGAAUUACAAUAAUCAGUGGAUGUUCUACUGCUGUUAGAGUGAUGUGAAGGAGUACUUGUUAUAUGAGCCCUUCCUACAUUAUUUUGCAGGUCAAAUGCAGCUCUGCUUCUUACAUUCCUCUGAGAACCCUCACCUCCAAUAGACAGACUAUUACCUCGGUAAUUAGGAUGUAAACCCCAAGUUGUGUAAUGGGGGUCUGGAUUUUGUUUCUCCUGCCAAGAUUCAGAAGGGAGAUCAGAUGAACUGCCAGCAUCAAAGUAUCUGCUUGUACUACCACUUUCGCCACCUGCAGGUAUACCAGGACUCUUUCGUUUGUACGGCCCUCUCCCACUACCCAUUGUGAGGUCAACAAGGCCACCAUCCACCCCAUGAUAUGUCUGGCCACCAUGGGCUGAUGAAGAUGCUUGAUGUGGAUAAUUCUCAUGGAUCAUAUGAAAGCCUCCAGUACCUGAAUGUAGAAAAGGGUCAUGAAGAGGACCUUGAACCUGUGGCUGACAGUGUGGAAUUUCCAUAUUUGGAUUCAAGGAAGAAUAUCCACUUGGCCUAGAGCCAUGCCCCUGAGAAGAAUGGUGUGCCCCGUCAAUUGACAUACUAUCCACUGGAUAAACAAUAUUACUGCUUUCCGGAACACCAGUCCUUGCGUAAGGCAAAGGUGCCUGCUCUGGAAUGUUCCAUCUCUGAUCAUCUUCCGUCCCAAAUAUUGGAGGCGUGUUGAAUGAAUUUCUGUGCCCCAUUGUACGUGAAAGUAAGCAAUAAAUUUAUCUCUCCGCGAAAAGAAAUAUGAACAAGUGAGUCUCACUCAAAUCUGGUCAGCCACAAAGGAAAAGUAUUAUGUCUUCAGGUCCUUGCAAGGUCUUUAACUCUGCGGCUGAGUGAUAUACGGAGAAGUUUUGCCGGUGAAGAAACCGGUAGCUUUUGCUUGUGGAUGAUCGGAUGAUUGAGACG